Molecule: ribosomal RNA, 465 nt
Filed under: uncultured bacterium
Lineage: Bacteria
Description: partial 16S ribosomal RNA
Rfam family: Bacterial small subunit ribosomal RNA
Source: RNAcentral
GACGAACGCUGGCGGCGUGCUUAACACAUGCAAGUCGAACGGAAAGGCCCUGCUUGCGGGGUACUCUAGUGGCGAACGGGGGAGUAACACGCGGGUGUUCUCCCCUGCACUUCGGGAUAAGCCUUGGAAACUGGGGCUAAUACCGGAUAUGACCUCCCAUGCAGUGUGGGGGGGGGAGGGAUUUAUCGGUGUGGGAUGAGCCCGCGGCCUAUCAGCUUGUUGGUGGGGUAAUGGCCUACCAAGGCGUCGACGGGUAGCCGGCCUGAGAGGGUGGCCGGCCACAUUGGGACUGAGAUACGGCCCAGACUCCUACGGGAGGCAGCAGUGGGGAAUAUUGCACAAUGGGCGGAAGCCUUAUGCAGCAACGCCGCGUGCGGGAUGGCGGCCUUCGGGUUGUAAACCUCUUUCGCCAGGGACGAAGCUUCGGUGACGGUACCUGUAAAAGAAGCACCGGCUAACUACGUG